This 770-nucleotide ribosomal RNA is filed under the name uncultured bacterium. Its description in RNAcentral is "bacterial SSU rRNA". It matches the Rfam family "Bacterial small subunit ribosomal RNA", at positions 8 to 796 of the family's 1533-position model. The record is from RNAcentral.
AGAGUUUGAUCAUGGCUCAGGACGAACGCUGGCGGCGUGCUUAACACAUGCAAGUCGAGCGGAAAGGCCCUUCGGGGUACUCGAGCGGCGAACGGGUGAGUAACACGUGAGCAAUCUGCCCUUAGCUUCGGGAUAGCUCCGGGAAACCGGAAUUAAUACCGGAUAUGACCACGGCCGACAUCAGCCAUGGUGGAAAGUUUUUCGGCUAGGGAUGAGCUCGCGGCCUAUCAGCUAGUUGGUGGGGUAAUGGCCCACCAAGGCGACGACGGGUAGCCGGCCUGAGAGGGCGACCGGCCACACUGGGACUGAGACACGGCCCAGACUUCUACGGGAGGCAGCAGUGGGGAAUAUUGCGCAAUGGGCGAAAGCCUGACGCAGCGACGCCGCGUGGGGGAUGAAUGCCUUCGGGUUGUAAACCCCUUUCAGCAGGGACGAAGCGAAAGUGACGGUACCUGCAGAAGAAGCGCCGGCUAACUACGUGCCAGCAGCCGCGGUAACACGUAGGGCGCAAGCGUUGUCCGGAAUUAUUGGGCGUAAAGAGCUCGUAGGCGGUCCGCCACGUCCGCUGUGAAAACCUGGGGCUUAACCCUAGGCUUGCAGUAGAUACGGGCAGACUAGAGGUAGGUAGGGGAGAAUGGAAUUCCCGGUGUAGCGGUGAAAUGCGCAGAUAUCGGGAGGAACACCGGUGGCGAAGGCGGUUCUCUGGGCCUUACCUGACGCUGAGGAGCGAAAGCGUGGGGAGCAAACAGGAUUAGAUACCCCCGUAGUCC